GGAGAGGUGUCCGAGUGGCUUAAGGAGCACGCCUGGAAAGUGUGUAUAGGUUAAUAGCCUAUCGAGGGUUCGAAUCCCUCCCUCUCCGCCA
Molecule: transfer RNA, 91 nt
Filed under: Bdellovibrio bacteriovorus
Lineage: Bacteria; Pseudomonadati; Bdellovibrionota; Bdellovibrionia; Bdellovibrionales; Pseudobdellovibrionaceae
Also listed under: 16 other names
Description: tRNA-Ser
Rfam family: tRNA
About the family: Transfer RNA (tRNA) molecules are approximately 80 nucleotides in length. Their secondary structure includes four short double-helical elements and three loops (D, anti-codon, and T loops).
Source: RNAcentral